GCAUCGAAGCGAGGGGCUGAGCUGCACCGACAUAGAUUCGCGUGCGCCCGACGGGCAGGGAUUCAAGCCAAGAGAGCGUGCAUAGGAGGAACCAUCGCACUUUUCUUGUAUAGUGGAUAUAAGGGAAGCAUACCAGCGCCUUCCCCCUUUCUAGCAAGCGGCGACAUGCAUCUGUCACCUGCGCAGACUGUGAAGCAUGCAGCUCAGCUCACUUCGAGAGCUUGUCGUGCUCUUCGACACGCAGCUGCAGCAGCUGACUCUUUUCUACCUCGCAGACGGAUUCUUUGCGCUACACACGGUAGCAGUCUCCAUCGCCAGCCUGGUGGUGUGCGCCUCUCUUGCUGUCGCCACCAGCAGCGGAUCUGGCGGCUCCGCCGCGCCGCUCACGUCGACCCCGCUGCUCUUUACGAGCUUUACAUCCUUUGCCUCCCUCUCGGUGCUCACGCUGAUGAUACUGACACUGCUCUACCGGGCGAUAGGUGGGGGUUUUGUCUACUCCCCGCGAGAGACCGCGUAUGUGGUGGACUGGAUCCUCGACACUGUCUCUCGGCCCGCUGUGGAGGACACGGUACACCUACUGCUGGCGCCGAACAAGCGCCGUGAGCGCGGCAUGUUUUUCAUGAGUCUGUGCCUCAUUGGCGAGGCCGGCAAGUUUCUUUCGUUUUGGUCGAUCUGCACAUUGGCGUCGAUGGCCUGGUGCGGGUGGAGCGUGCGGCGUGCGUGGCGUACGCACCGCUGUGCGGGAUAAUCUGUUCUUCACUUUUUUUUUCGCAUCCUGCGAUCCUGUCCCGCGUGACGCAGGAAGGGAGGGAGGAAGGGGGCCACACACCGCUCAGUGCGUCGCAUCGUCAGGGUCCCGCACGACCCACCAUUGCGGGGCGACGCCGAGCAGCUCCCCUAUGCCCCUGCCCAAUGCCGAGCCGCCUCUGGUGGAGGCUGAAUCAGGCACCCGUACGCCAUGGGGAGGACAGAGCGGCUCAUCGCUGCUGAUGCCGGCGGUGGGGCCCUGGACGGUGCUGCGGCGGAGCGACCUGAAAGGCCGCGUGUGGGCGGGCAGAGUUUGGGGCAGGGGGCGGUCGUCUCAGGUGACUGAGUCGGCGCAUUUGGUGUACCGGGCGUGUCUCUCGCGCUGCUUCGCACGACGCGGAUGGGGGGCCUGUGGCAGGGCCUAGCGUAGGCUGGCGUGUGACUUAUUCCGCACGGCGGAGAACGGACACGCGUUGGAGGCAAGCACGAAACAUGUGAUCAUGGAAGGAUCUCUCUAUUUUCUUGUGUGCAGGUUUGCUGGUGCGCGUCGGCCUUCUGCGUCGCGGCAGUGGCCGCUCUAGGGCACGGUUCCUCACUUUCUUUUUUAUUGUGCCUGUGCUUUUUUGCACACAUGCACAUCGCGUCUCUUCGCCUCCCUACUCUCCUCGAAGCCUUGCUUAGCCUCCGUGUGGACGCCAGCAGCGCAUCAACGGAUACAUGUAUGACAAGGGUAUCUCGGAAGCAUCGCUCUCUCUCUCUUUCUCGUUGCCGUUUAUUAUUAUUUUGUGCGCAUGGGUGCUCUCAACCUGUUUUGCACGCAUCUCUUCUCGGUUUUCGACCGCCUUUUUGCGUCUACCUGCAG
Molecule: unclassified non-coding RNA, 1609 nt
Filed under: Leishmania donovani
Lineage: Eukaryota; Euglenozoa; Kinetoplastea; Trypanosomatida; Trypanosomatidae
Description: gene:LdHU3.30.1570(CDS-product:hypothetical_prote in_conserved)
Source: RNAcentral